RNAcentral lists this ribosomal RNA (253 nucleotides) under uncultured bacterium. RNAcentral's name for it is "partial 16S ribosomal RNA". It matches the Rfam family "Bacterial small subunit ribosomal RNA", at positions 524 to 776 of the family's 1533-position model. The record is from RNAcentral.
UACGUAGGGGGCAAGCGUUGUCCGGAAUCAUUGGGCGUAAAGCGCGCGUAGGCGGCCCGGUAAGUCCGCUGUGAAAGUCCAGGGCUCAACCCUGGAAAGCCGGUGGAUACUGUCGGGCUAGAGUCCGGAAGAGGCGAGUGGAAUUCCUGGUGUAGCGGUGGAAUGCGCAGAUAUCAGGAGGAACACCGAUGGCGAAGGCAGCUCGCUGGGACGGUACUGACGCUGAGGCGCGAAAGCGUGGGGAGCGAACAGG